This 457-nucleotide ribosomal RNA is filed under the name uncultured Pelotomaculum sp. RNAcentral describes it as "bacterial SSU rRNA". It matches the Rfam family "Bacterial small subunit ribosomal RNA", at positions 925 to 1382 of the family's 1533-position model. The record is from RNAcentral. Lineage: Bacteria; Bacillati; Bacillota; Clostridia; Eubacteriales; Desulfotomaculaceae.
ACAAGCGGUGGAGCAUGUGGUUAAUUCGAAGCAACGCGAAGAACCUUACCAGGCUUGACAUCCCCUGACCGCGUAUGAAAGUACGUUUUCACCCUCGGGUGACAGGGAGACAGGUGGUGCAUGGUUGUCGUCAGCUCGUGUCGUGAGAUGUUGGGUUAAGUCCCGCAACGAGCGCAACCCCUACGUUUAGUUGCUAACGCGUGAAGGCGAGCACUCUAGACGAACUGCCGUUGACAAAACGGAGGAAGGUGGGAUGACGUCAAAUCAUCAUGCCCCUUAUGUUCUGGGCUACACACGUGCUACAAUGGCCGGUACAGACGGAGGCGAAGCCGCGAGGCGGAGCAAAUCCGAAAAAGCCGGUCUCAGUUCGGAUUGCAGGCUGCAAUUCGCCUGCAUGAAGUCGGAAUCGCUAGUAAUCGCAGGUCAGCAUACUGCGGUGAAUACGUUCCCGGGCCUU